UGGGGAAUAUUGGACAAUGGGCGCAAGCCUGAUCCAGCCAUGCCGCGUGAGUGAUGAAGGCCCUAGGGUUGUAAAGCUCUUUCACCGGUGAAGAUAAUGACGGUAACCGGAGAAGAAGCCCCGGCUAACUUCGUGCCAGCAGCCGCGGUAAUACGAAGGGGGCUAGCGUUGUUCGGAUUUACUGGGCGUAAAGCGCUCGUAGGCGGACUUUUAAGUCAGGGGUGAAAUCCCGGGGCUCAACCCCGGAACUGCCUUUGAUACUGGAAGUCUUGAGUAUGGUAGAGGUGAGUGGAAUUCCGAGUGUAGAGGUGAAAUUCGUAGAUAUUCGGAGGAACACCAGUGGCGAAGGCGGCUCACUGGACCAUUACUGACGCUGAGGUGCGAAAGCGUGGGGAGCAAACAGG
This 404-nucleotide ribosomal RNA is filed under the name Brucella melitensis. Its description in RNAcentral is "partial 16S ribosomal RNA". It matches the Rfam family "Bacterial small subunit ribosomal RNA", at positions 355 to 776 of the family's 1533-position model. RNAcentral also lists the same sequence under 2 other names. The record is from RNAcentral. Lineage: Bacteria; Pseudomonadati; Pseudomonadota; Alphaproteobacteria; Hyphomicrobiales; Brucellaceae.